Non-coding RNA from Nerophis lumbriciformis (worm pipefish), 1926 nucleotides. The record is from RefSeq and is a predicted model, not a curated record. NCBI's taxonomy places the organism in Eukaryota, Metazoa, Chordata, Actinopteri, Syngnathiformes, Syngnathidae.
GGUAAAAGAUCAGAUGCUCUACUGAUCUUUAGAAUAUCCUGUUACUGCAUUGUGGUCAUCAUCGCUUGUUGUCUUUUAUACAUAAUACAUCAACUUAUAAAAGCAUGUUGUGAUAAAUAUAUUAUGAACAGAAGACAAAGUGCAGUAAAAGUGUCCAAACAACAUAAUGAAAGCACAUCCCCACUUCCUUCCAAAGAGAAGAUGAAUAAACAGCAGAAACCAGAAGAAAAGCUUGACUCAGACAUGAACACUAUCACUCUACUUGAGGAUACCAGAAAGAAUCAGCAAGUCAAGCAACACCCAUCAACUGGCGAGUAGAAGUUAUCAGAACAAGCAACACAGGCACUUUAAAUCAUGUCACAAUGAGAAAAGUCCCCUCCUCCGCUUCUCUAAAAGAGGAAAACAUUCACUAAUAAUGAAUCAGGACUCCUGAUGUCAACACCACAAACCCCUUUAAUGCAUACCUUACAGUAAUUGUAACCAGGCCUAACCAUGUGUCAUUAUUGAACAUUUACAGAUGAUUAUUGAUUAUGCACUGCAGGAAUAUUUUGAGACAAUUGUUUGAAUUUUACAAUGAUUAAAGCAUUGUGAAAAAUGAUUGUGGAAAAAAGUUCGGUUUUUAAAAAAAUAUAUAUGGGUAUGUCAUUGUACAACAAUUAUUCACUUUAGGAGUAUUUUGACCAAAAGUUUGACAUUUUACAAAAACAUUUUACAGAAAUGAAAACACUAUCAAAUAAAAACAUCAAUCUAAAAAGUCAAUGGCAGUUUUGCAAAAGGGCGCUUGGAUAUUGAUUACAUAAAAAAUAGUAUUUCUACUCAGAUCAGACAUAUUUACAGCUGCUAUUACCUACAGUUCUACAGCAACACAACAACUCUCUGUAGAUGUAUGAAACAUCCCUCUAGUCAGGCAAUCCCCUCCCACUCAUCUGAGCAUUAGAGUGGUCCACCACAUUUUGAUGUCAUGGGUGCAUUUACAAAAGAAAAAGGGCUAAUUGUCGAUGUUGAGUGGUACAUUUUAAACUAAUAAUAACCUUUUGGCUGCCUUCUGGGAAUUGCAGGGGGGUUACAAAACCCUGUGAGUUGUCGGUGCUAGAUAACUCCAGGGUGAAUCAAUAGGUAUUUUACCUGUACUUUUACUUAAUUGACAUUGUUUUUAACAUUUUAAUAACGUUCUGUUUUGUUCCUGCUAACAUGACAGUGCACAGCUGUGUAAGCAAACCAAACAGGGAGGAGGUAGACGAUGGGAACGCAGCAAUGCUGCUUAGUACUGGUAUUACAGUUACGUAGUAUUCCAGUCCUGGAGCAAAGAAAAGUUCAUUAUUGAUUUCCGGCCAUAUGAAGAUGAAGUUUGUCAAUAUCUGUGUUGUUUGACAAAUGUUUUGCACUUUUCCUUUAGCCGGGUUAUUGUCACUUUGCCACUGUUGUGUUAAAACAGUCAUUGUAUAUAUAAGCUAUAGUGUAUAUUUUAGUCUUUAUAUGAUAUUAUUAUAAUAUUAUUUAACUUUCUUUAUUUUCAUGUGUGUCCAGUCAGUGUCCUCCCCCUCGUUUUGUACAUCAUGCCGCAACUUUGCAAGUAUGUAUGUAUGUAUGUAUGUAUGCAUGUAUGUAUGUAUGUAUGUAUGUAGCGUGUAAUGCAGCUUGCUACAAUUCUGUGGGGAUAGCUUCGCCUGUAGCUUAGCUACAUUAAAUGGAGAGUAACUAGUAGCUUAUCUUACGACAAUAAAAAUAUUUUAUCAAAUAAUUUGUCUGUUUAGACAAAAUUGUAAGAAUUUGACAAUGGUAAUUUUGAAUAGUUAAAAAGUUUACAUAGACUGUUACUCUGUAGUGAAUUACAAUUGGCUUACACGGCUUUUAAACAUGAGUGUGUAUUUCUGUUUUCAUUUAUUUUAUAAAGCAGAAGUUGCUUUGUUGGUCACGCCAAAUAAA